RNAcentral lists this ribosomal RNA (121 nucleotides) under Nonomuraea coxensis. The record is from RNAcentral. Lineage: Bacteria; Bacillati; Actinomycetota; Actinomycetes; Streptosporangiales; Streptosporangiaceae.
GUUACGGCGGUUAUGGCGGGAAGGAAACACCCGGUUACAUUCCGAACCCGGAAGUUAAGCUUCUCUGCGCCGAUGGUACUGCACUCGGGAGGGUGUGGGAGAGUAGGUCACCGCCGGACAA